RNAcentral lists this ribosomal RNA (490 nucleotides) under uncultured bacterium. RNAcentral describes it as "partial 16S ribosomal RNA". It matches the Rfam family "Bacterial small subunit ribosomal RNA", at positions 28 to 507 of the family's 1533-position model. The record is from RNAcentral.
GAUGAACGCUAGCGAUAGGCUUAACACAUGCAAGUCGAGGGGCAGCAUGGUCUUAGCUUGCUAAGGCUGAUGGCGACCGGUGCACGGGUGCGUAACGAGUAUGCAACUUGCCUCACAGAGGGGGAUAACCCGUCGAAAGACGGACUAAUACCGCGUACAAUCUAUGUUGGGCAUCCAAUGUAGAGGAAAUGAAAUUCGCUGUGAGAUAGGCAUGCGUCCCAUUAGCUAGUUGGUGAGGUAACGGCUCACCAAGGCGACGAUGGGUAGGGGAACUGAGAGGUUGAACCCCCACGCUGGUACUGACACACGAACCAGACUCCUACGGGAGGCAGCAGUUAGGAAUAGUGGUCAAUGAGAGAGAGCCUGAACCAGCCAAGUCGCGUGAAGGAUGACUGUCUUAUGGAUUGUAAACUUCUUUUGUGCGGGAAUAACAAGAGUCACGUGUGGCUCCCUGCAUGUACCGUAUGAAUAAGCAUCGGCUAACUCCGUG